UUUAAUUUUUAUUUUUUUCUUCUCUCUCUCCCCCUCUCUCACGACAGAUCUCAUCUCAUCUCCUUCUCUGCUUUUUUUUCCGAUUCUCUCUUCUUCACUCUAACCUCUCAUUCUCAUAUCUCACAUCUCAUAUCUCUCUUCUCUCUCAUCUCUCUCAACGCCUCUCUCAUCUCUCCCAUCUCUCUCAACGCCUCUCUCAUCUUACCACCACCGUGUCUCCUCCUCGUCUCACCACCACCGUUUUCCCCCUUGUCUCACCACCACCAUGGUCUCUCUCUCUCUCUCUCUCUCUCUCUCUCUCUCUCUCUCUCUCUCUCUCUGUCA
This 324-nucleotide long non-coding RNA is filed under the name Brassica napus (rape). RNAcentral describes it as "long non-coding RNA (BNAP_LNC011443)". Lineage: Eukaryota; Viridiplantae; Streptophyta; Magnoliopsida; Brassicales; Brassicaceae. The record is from RNAcentral.